AGGGUGGUUUUGAUACCACUUAUCAGUAGAAUUUGAAGGAAAAUGGUUGGAAAGCUACCAUAUUAGAGCCUCUCAACUACAUAGUUCUCCCCAAACUCUCAAUUGUAGACUUUCUCUUCCACUGCAGCCCAAAUCAAUUCUCCAGCCUCUAUUGUGCACUUAAAGUGUUUGACAAAACUCCCUACCCAAUUAUCAACUCCUCAACCGCGCUUAAAGACUCUCAACUGUAGGCUUUCUUUUCCUCUGCGCUUUAAGUGAAUUCUCCAACUUCCAUUGCGCGUUUAAAGUGUGCGAGAAAAUUCCCAACCCAACUCUCAACUCUUCGACCACGCUUAAAUUGUUUGAGAAAUCUAUCAUCGAUGUUUACAAGUGAAUCAGUAUGGAUUUGCAAGAAUGAGUCGAUCAUUUUGAAGAGGUCGUGGCUGAAGCAGAGCAAAGAAGAGAAAGGUGUGGUAUUGGUGCUAGAAAGAGAAGAGAACAAAUGAGUACUGAAGAAGAGAAAGAUGCAUAUCUUGCAGCAACAACGCGUACAAACAGCAAAUAAUGAUGCACCGAGACAAUUGAGCAUCUAAGAGAAAUUAAUCGUCCUACUCGCGCAAGACAAACGAUGAUGGUAGAAGACGACGAUUACAAAGAACCAAUAAUGCCAGUAUUGUCAUGCAUUCAAGAGGAGGAGUUCAUGACAGUACGUAAUCCUUCUCAAUUAAUUUCCUGCAUCAGGUCUGGCAUUUGGUAAUGCAUCUCAAAUACCACUGAUUCACAAUUCAUUUCUGCUCCUAUCUAUUUCACAUUCUUGAACUUACAGUCUCUUAUGGGCUAUUCAUUUGUUUCCUGAACCUAAACUGUAAAUUUACUGAAUUUUCUAACAGUAAACAACCCUACCAUAAAUGAGAGAGUAGGUCGUUUAUCUCGCUCAAUACCGCUACCAAUGACAACAGU
This is a non-coding RNA of Sesamum indicum (sesame), 939 nucleotides long. The record is from RefSeq and is a predicted model, not a curated record. NCBI's taxonomy places the organism in Eukaryota, Viridiplantae, Streptophyta, Magnoliopsida, Lamiales, Pedaliaceae.